RNAcentral lists this ribosomal RNA (60 nucleotides) under Sophora flavescens. RNAcentral describes it as "partial 26S ribosomal RNA". RNAcentral also lists the same sequence under 1 other name. Lineage: Eukaryota; Viridiplantae; Streptophyta; Magnoliopsida; Fabales; Fabaceae. The record is from RNAcentral.
GACCUCAGGUCAGGCGGGGCUACCCGCUGAGUUUAAGCAUAUCAAUAAGCGGAGGAGAAG